Molecule: ribosomal RNA, 631 nt
Filed under: Pseudomonas fluorescens
Lineage: Bacteria; Pseudomonadati; Pseudomonadota; Gammaproteobacteria; Pseudomonadales; Pseudomonadaceae
Description: bacterial SSU rRNA
Rfam family: Bacterial small subunit ribosomal RNA
Source: RNAcentral
UGCAGUCGAGCGGUAGAGAGAAGCUUGCUUCUCUUGAGAGCGGCGGACGGGUGAGUAAAGCCUAGGAAUCUGCCUGGUAGUGGGGGAUAACGUUCGGAAACGGACGCUAAUACCGCAUACGUCCUACGGGAGAAAGCAGGGGACCUUCGGGCCUUGCGCUAUCAGAUGAGCCUAGGUCGGAUUAGCUAGUUGGUGAGGUAAUGGCUCACCAAGGCGACGAUCCGUAACUGGUCUGAGAGGAUGAUCAGUCACACUGGAACUGAGACACGGUCCAGACUCCUACGGGAGGCAGCAGUGGGGAAUAUUGGACAAUGGGCGAAAGCCUGAUCCAGCCAUGCCGCGUGUGUGAAGAAGGUCUUCGGAUUGUAAAGCACUUUAAGUUGGGAGGAAGGGCAUUAACCUAAUACGUUAGUGUUUUGACGUUACCGACAGAAUAAGCACCGGCUAACUCUGUGCCAGCAGCCGCGGUAAUACAGAGGGUGCAAGCGUUAAUCGGAAUUACUGGGCGUAAAGCGCGCGUAGGUGGUUUGUUAAGUUGGAUGUGAAAUCCCCGGGCUCAACCUGGGAACUGCAUUCAAAACUGACUGACUAGAGUAUGGUAGAGGGUGGUGGAAUUUCCUGUGUAGCGGUG